Molecule: ribosomal RNA, 245 nt
Filed under: uncultured bacterium
Lineage: Bacteria
Description: partial 16S ribosomal RNA
Rfam family: Bacterial small subunit ribosomal RNA
Source: RNAcentral
GAAGCGAGGCUGUGAAGCGGAGCAAAUCUCAAAAACCGGUCCCCAGUUCGGAUUGUAGGCUGCAACUCGCCUACAUGAAGUCGGAGUUGCUAGUAAUCGCGGAUCAGAAUGCCGCGGUGAAUGCGUUCCCGGGUCUUGUACACACCGCCCGUCACACCAUGGAAGUUGGGGGCGCCCGAAGUUGCCUAAGAAAUAAGGUACCUAAGGCGAAACCAAUGACUGGGGUGAAGUCGUAACAAGGUACC